This 339-nucleotide RNase P RNA is filed under the name uncultured Anaeromassilibacillus sp. RNAcentral describes it as "Bacterial RNase P class A". It matches the Rfam family "Bacterial RNase P class A". Rfam says of the family: Ribonuclease P (RNase P) is a ubiquitous endoribonuclease, found in archaea, bacteria and eukarya as well as chloroplasts and mitochondria. Its best characterised activity is the generation of mature 5'-ends of tRNAs by cleaving the 5'-leader elements of precursor-tRNAs. Cellular RNase Ps are ribonucleoproteins. Lineage: Bacteria; Bacillati; Bacillota; Clostridia; Eubacteriales; Acutalibacteraceae. The record is from RNAcentral.
AGCAGGCUGAACAGCUGCGGGUGAGACCCGAAAGGGUCCACACGAGGAAAGUCCGAGCUCCAAAGGGCAAGAAUAACGGCUAACGGCCGCCGGGGGCGACCCUAGGGAAAGUGCAACAGAGAUAUACCGCCGCUUUGCGGCAAGGGUGGAAAGGCGAGGUAAGAGCUCACCAGCGCGCAGGAGACUGCGCGGCUCUGCAAACCCUAUUCGGAGCAACACCGUGGAGGGACAUAUGCGCCGGCCCGGCGCGUCCUGUGGAGGUGGCAUCGAGCUGGAGCGGCAACGCCCAGCCAAGAUAGAUGGCUGUUCACGACAGAACUCGGCUUACAGGCCUGGUCG